RNAcentral lists this ribosomal RNA (495 nucleotides) under uncultured bacterium. RNAcentral's name for it is "partial 16S ribosomal RNA". It matches the Rfam family "Bacterial small subunit ribosomal RNA", at positions 28 to 507 of the family's 1533-position model. The record is from RNAcentral.
GACGAACGCUGGCGGCGUGCCUAAUACAUGCAAGUAGAACGCUGAAGGAGGAGCUUGCUUCUCUGGAUGAGUUGCGCACGGGUGAGAAACGCGUAGGUAACCUGCCUGGUAGCGGGGGAAAACUAGUGGAAACGAUAGCUAAUACCGCAUAAGAGUAGAUGUUGCAUGACAUUGGCUGAAAAGGUUCAAUUGCAUCACUACCAGAUGGCGCUGCGUUGUCUUAGCGAGUGGGUGGGGUAACGGCUCACCAAGGCGACGAUACAUAGCCGACCUGCGAGCGGGAGCGGCCACCCGGGCACUGUGACACGGCCCAGCCGCCCACGGGAGGCCGCAGUAGGGAAGCUUCGGCUAUUGACCGAAGUGUGACCGAGUAACGCCGCGUGAGUGCAGGAGGUUUUCGGGUCUUCAAGCUCUGUUGUUAUUGAAGAAAGGGUGGGAGCGUAGAAUUUGCACGCUGUGACGGUAGCUUAUCAGAAAGCGCCGGCUAACUACGUG